Non-coding RNA from Lentinula boryana, 103 nucleotides. The record is from the annotation of a GenBank genome assembly. NCBI's taxonomy places the organism in Eukaryota, Fungi, Basidiomycota, Agaricomycetes, Agaricales, Omphalotaceae.
GGCCGCCUGGCGAAAUGGCAUCGCGUCUGACUACGAAUCAAGUACAUAUAUAUAUAUAUGUAGACGAAUCAGGAGAUUGCAGGUUCGACCCCUGCGGUGGUCA